UGGGGAAUUUUGGACAAUGGGGGAAACCCUGAUCCAGCCAUCCCGCGUGUGCGAUGAAGGCCUUCGGGUUGUAAAGCACUUUUGGCAGGAAAGAAACGUCAUGGGUUAAUACCCCGUGCAACUGACGGUAUCUGCAGAAUAAGCACCGUCUAACUACGUGCCAGCAGCCGCGGUUAUACGUAGGGUGCAAGCGUUAAUCGGAAUUACUGGGGGUAAAGCGUGCGCAGGCGGUUCGGAAAGAAAGAUGUGAAAUCCCAGAGCUCAACUUUGGAACUGCAUUUUUAACUACCGGGCUAGAGUGUGUCAGAGGGAGGUGGAAUUCCGCGUGUAGCAGUGAAAUGCGUAGAUAUGCGGAGGAACACCGAUGGCGAAGGCAGCCUCCUGGGAUAACACUGACGCUCAUGCACGAAAGCGUGGGGAGCAAACAGG
RNAcentral lists this ribosomal RNA (429 nucleotides) under Acidobacteriota bacterium. RNAcentral describes it as "Acidobacteria bacterium partial 16S ribosomal RNA". It matches the Rfam family "Bacterial small subunit ribosomal RNA", at positions 355 to 776 of the family's 1533-position model. Lineage: Bacteria; Pseudomonadati; Acidobacteriota. The record is from RNAcentral.